CUCUUAGAUGUUCUGGGCGGCCCGCGCACUACAAUGGCGCUUUCAGCGAGUUCCUAUGUUGAAUUUUCCUGGGUAUUCUUGGAAGCGGCGUCUUGACUUGGGAUAGAUCCUUGUAAUUGUUGGUUUUGAACGAGGAAUUCCUUGUAAUCGCGGUUGAUCAGCUCGCGUUGAAUACGUCCCUGCCCUUUGUACACACCGCCCGUCGCUCCUACCGAUGAAUCGUCCGGUGAAGUUCACAGAGUGGCGGUUCGUGGAGUUGCUCGCGAAGUGAAAUGGACCUCACGAUUUAGAGGAAGGAGAAGUCGUAACA
Molecule: ribosomal RNA, 310 nt
Filed under: uncultured eukaryote
Lineage: Eukaryota
Description: partial 18S ribosomal RNA
Rfam family: Eukaryotic small subunit ribosomal RNA
Source: RNAcentral